Molecule: ribosomal RNA, 1439 nt
Filed under: Pseudis paradoxa (paradox frog)
Lineage: Eukaryota; Metazoa; Chordata; Amphibia; Anura; Hylidae
Description: partial 16S ribosomal RNA
Rfam family: Bacterial large subunit ribosomal RNA
Source: RNAcentral
GCUAAAAACUUAGCCCCCCCCCCCUUUUUUUAAUAAAACACCAACACCUCUCUACUAAAACUAAAACAUUUUAUUAACCCAGUAAAGGCGAUUAAAAAGUUUAUAGGAGCUAUAAAAAUAGUACCGCAAGGGAAAAGUGAAAUAAAAAUGAAAUAAAUUUUAAGCACAAUAAAGCAAAGAUUAAAUCUUGUACCUUUUGCAUCAUGGUUUAACCAGUCAAAUCAAGCAAAAUGAACUACAGUUUGAACCCCCGAAACUAAGCGAGCUACUUCAGGGCAGCUUCCCGAGCAAACCCGUCUCUGUUGCAAAAGAGUGGGACGACCCUUAAGUAGCGGUGAUAGACCUAACGAGCUUAGUGAUAGCUGGUUACUCAAGAAAAGGAUUUUAGUCCCGCCUAAAGCUACUUUAAUUUUACAAAAUAAGCCCCUAACUUUAGAGUAAUUCAAAUAAGGUACAGCCUAUUUGAACAAGGGUACAACCUAAACUAAUGGGUAAAUUUUAUCUAACAACAAAGUGGGCCUAAAAGCAGCCACCUUUAAGACAGCGUCAUAGCUUACUUGUUAUAACAUUUUUCAAUACCCCAAUUUUCCCAGACCCCUUUAUUUUUAUUGAGUAGUUCUAUAAUAAUAUAGAAAUUAUACUGUUAAAACUAGUAACAAGAAGAAGCCCUUCUCUUAAAUGCGAGUGUAUAUCAGAAAGGACAAACCACUGAUAAUUAAUGCCCAUAAAAUAAUAGUAAUAACAUAACAAGAAAACCUUACUCUAUUCAGCAUUAACCUAACACAAGAGCAUUACAAGAAAGAUUAAAAAAAGAGGAAGGAACUCGGCAAAUAUUAACCCCGCCUGUUUACCAAAAACAUCGCCUCUUGAAUAUUAUAAGAGGUCCCGCCUGCCCAGUGACUCUGUUCAACGGCCGCGGUAUCCUAACCGUGCGAAGGUAGCGUAAUCACUUGUUCUUUAAAUAGGGACUAGUAUGAAUGGCACCACGAGGGUUAUACUGUCUCCCCCUUUUAAUCAGUGAAACUAAUCUCCCCGUGAAGAAGCGUGGAUGAUACUAUAAGACGAGAAGACCCUAUGGAGCUUUAAACUAGUUUCCCAACAACCUCACCUCCUUUUUAAGCUUAUGCUUUUAAUAAUCAGUCCGGUUCUAUGGGAACAAGUUUUAGGUUGGGGUGACCACGGAGUAAAAAACAACCUCCGAGCUGUAAGGGACUACCCCCUGAACAACAAACUACAACUUUAUGUACCAAUAUAUUGACACCUAUUGACCCAAUAUUUUGAUCAACGAACCAAGUUACCCUAGGGAUAACAGCGCAAUCCGCUUCAAGAGCUCCUAUCGACAAGCGGGUUUACGACCUCGAUGUUGGAUCAGGGUGUCCCAGUGGUGCAGCCGCUACUAAAGGUUCGUUUGUUCAACGAUUAAAACCCUACGUGAUCUG